RNAcentral lists this ribosomal RNA (496 nucleotides) under uncultured bacterium. Its description in RNAcentral is "partial 16S ribosomal RNA". It matches the Rfam family "Bacterial small subunit ribosomal RNA", at positions 28 to 507 of the family's 1533-position model. The record is from RNAcentral.
GAUGAACGCUGGCGGCGUGCCUAAUACAUGCAAGUCGAGCGAACAGACGAGGAGCUUGCUCCUCUGACGUUAGCGGCGGACGGGUGAGUAACACGUGGAUAACCUACCUAUAAGACUGGGAUAACUUCGGGAAACCGGAGCUAAUACCGGAUAAUAUAUUGAACCGCAUGGUUCAAUAGUGAAAGACGGUUUUGCUGUCACUUAUAGAUGGAUCCGCGCCGCAUUAGCUAGUUGGUAAGGUAACGGCUUACCAAGGCGACGAUGCGUAGCCGACCUGAGAGGGUGAUCGGCCACACUGGAACUGAGACACGGUCCAGACUCCUACGGGAGGCAGCAGUAGGGAAUCUCCCGCAAUGGGCGAAAGCCUGACGGAGCAACGCCGCGUGAGUGAUGAAGGUCUUCGGAUCGUAAAACUCUGUUAUAGGGAAGAACAAAUGUGUAAGUAACUAUGCACGUCUUGACGGUACCUAAUCAGAAAGCCACGGCUAACUACGUG